This 388-nucleotide ribosomal RNA is filed under the name uncultured eukaryote. Its description in RNAcentral is "partial 18S ribosomal RNA". It matches the Rfam family "Eukaryotic small subunit ribosomal RNA", at positions 592 to 976 of the family's 1831-position model. The record is from RNAcentral.
CAAUAGCGUAUAUUAAAGUUGUUGCAGUUAAAAAGCUCGUAGUUGGAUUUCUGAUCGAGACAUCAGGUCGGGUCCGAGAGGAUCAUGUACUUUGAUUUUGUUUUGAUCAUCCUUGGGGAGAGCAUUUCUGGCAUUCGGUUGUCGGGAUUGGGAUCCUCAUCGUUUACUGUGAAAAAAUUAGAGUGUUCAAAGCAGGCCUCGGCCUCUGAAUACAUUAGCAUGGAAUAAUAAGAUAGGACUUUGGUGGUCUAUUUUGUUGGUUUGCACGCCAAAGUAAUGAUUAAUAGGGAUAGUUGGGGGUAUUCGUAUUCAAUUGUCAGAGGUGAAAUUCUUGGAUUUAUGGAAGACGAACUACUGCGAAAGCAUUUACCAAGGAUGUUUUCAUUAA